Molecule: ribosomal RNA, 1447 nt
Filed under: uncultured organism
Description: 16S ribosomal RNA
Rfam family: Bacterial small subunit ribosomal RNA
Source: RNAcentral
UGGCGGCGUGCCUAAUACAUGCAAGUAGAACGCUGAAGAGAGGAGCUUGCUCUUCUUGGAUGAGUUGCGAACGGGUGAGUAACGCGUAGGUAACCUGCCUUGUAGCGGGGGAUAACUAUUGGAAACGAUAGCUAAUACCGCAUAACAAUGGAUGACCCAUGUCAUUUAUUUGAAAGGGGCAAAUGCUCCACUACAAGAUGGACCUGCGUUGUAUUAGCUAGUAGGUGAGGUAACGGCUCACCUAGGCGACGAUACAUAGCCGACCUGAGAGGGUGAUCGGCCACACUGGGACUGAGACACGGCCCAGACUCCUACGGGAGGCAGCAGUAGGGAAUCUUCGGCAAUGGGGGCAACCCUGACCGAGCAACGCCGCGUGAGUGAAGAAGGUUUUCGGAUCGUAAAGCUCUGUUGUAAGUCAAGAACGAGUGUGAGAGUGGAAAGUUCACACUGUGACGGUAGCUUACCAGAAAGGGACGGCUAACUACGUGCCAGCAGCCGCGGUAAUACGUAGGUCCCGAGCGUUGUCCGGAUUUAUUGGGCGUAAAGCGAGCGCAGGCGGUUUGAUAAGUCUGAAGUUAAAGGCUGUGGCUCAACCAUAGUUCGCUUUGGAAACUGUCAAACUUGAGUGCAGAAGGGGAGAGUGGAAUUCCAUGUGUAGCGGUGAAAUGCGUAGAUAUAUGGAGGAACACCGGUGGCGAAAGCGGCUCUCUGGUCUGUAACUGACGCUGAGGCUCGAAAGCGUGGGGAGCGAACAGGAUUAGAUACCCUGGUAGUCCACGCCGUAAACGAUGAGUGCUAGGUGUUGGAUCCUUUCCGGGAUUCAGUGCCGCAGCUAACGCAUUAAGCACUCCGCCUGGGGAGUACGACCGCAAGGUUGAAACUCAAAGGAAUUGACGGGGGCCCGCACAAGCGGUGGAGCAUGUGGUUUAAUUCGAAGCAACGCGAAGAACCUUACCAGGUCUUGACAUCCCGAUGCUAUUUCUAGAGAUAGAAAGUUACUUCGGUACAUCGGUGACAGGUGGUGCAUGGUUGUCGUCAGCUCGUGUCGUGAGAUGUUGGGUUAAGUCCCGCAACGAGCGCAACCCCUAUUGUUAGUUGCCAUCAUUCAGUUGGGCACUCUAGCGAGACUGCCGGUAAUAAACCGGAGGAAGGUGGGGAUGACGUCAAAUCAUCAUGCCCCUUAUGACCUGGGCUACACACGUGUUACAAUGGUUGGUACAACGAGUUGCGAGUCGGUGACGGCAAGCUAAUCUCUUAAAGCCAAUCUCGGUUCGGAUUGUAGGCUGCAACUCGCCUACAUGAAGUCGGAAUCGCUAGUAAUCGCGGAUCAGCACGCCGCGGUGAAUACGUUCCCGGGCCUUGUACACACCGCCCGUCACACCACGAGAGUUUGUAACACCCGAAGUCGGUGAGGUAACCUUUUGGAGCCAGCCGCCUAAGGUGGGAU